Psammomys obesus (fat sand rat) is the source of this 840-nucleotide long non-coding RNA. RefSeq lists it as uncharacterized. The record is from RefSeq and is a predicted model, not a curated record. The transcript has 3 exons. Lineage: Eukaryota; Metazoa; Chordata; Mammalia; Rodentia; Muridae.
UGACAGGCGGAGAAGAGGGAAGAGGGAAACUGCCUUUGCUGGUGGCAGCUGGGCAGAGCAGAGCCGAUAAAAAGUCAAUUCCACUUAGCGGAAUCGCUGCUAACUAAAUAUUUGGGGGGCCAGAGCCUUCCUGGGUGGCUGCCGGAGGAUCUCUGCUUCCAAACUGAGACAUCAAACAGGCCCAGGGAGAGGACAGGACUCAGGGAGCCCUGCAGAAGAGGAGGUGGAGAAAGCCAGAGUGAUGGAGGACACCUAGGAAACAAGGUCUUCUAGGCCCAAGAGCCUUUAUGAGCAUGAAUGCAGCCGGGGCUGGACUGUUCCAUCGGCUUGGGUUGCAGUAUGAAGAGAAGAGAGAAAGGAGGGGCAAGCAGCCUGUCACUGGAAAUUGUUUCUCUGUGGGCGGCCACUGAGACGUGAAGAGCUGUUUGUUAUCGUGCACAGGAAAAGCCGACUGCUACACCCUCCGAAUAUCAACAUAUUUAAUGUGAAAUGCCAGGGAUAAUGUAGGGAUAACACCUUUAAGUAAUCAAUAGAUGCUAUUAAAGUCUACUGAAGGAAUCUGCCAAACCAUUUCAGUCUACCUUCUCCGAAUGUUUUUUUUCUACGUCUAUCUGAUCCUACCUCCAAGGCCAAGAGACCAUAAGCAUCUCUCUGGCUCAGUACUCCCAACAUCCUUUCAGUCCUUACACAGACAUUCAUAACGAUAGGCUCACUUGAAGUUCCUUUAUGUUCUGGACACAGAAAGAAGGGGAGAGCAGAAAACGAGGUCUUCCUUUAUAGAUGGAAAUAAAGCAGACAGAACUUGCCAAAGUCAGGAUCGAGUCCCUGCUUUUACUUGCU